This is a long non-coding RNA of Chroicocephalus ridibundus (black-headed gull), 306 nucleotides long. RefSeq lists it as uncharacterized. Lineage: Eukaryota; Metazoa; Chordata; Aves; Charadriiformes; Laridae. The record is from RefSeq and is a predicted model, not a curated record. The transcript has 3 exons.
GUCACCGGCCCCGUGGCGGCGACCGAGCCUCACCUCAGCGCCAGGGCGGGCGGCGCGCGCAACCGCUCGGGGUGCCGGAAGCGGCGGAAGGUUCCUGUUUUAGGACUCCUGUAGCACAGCAGCAGUGAAGAUCAGAAUCUCAUUACGGAGACAGGGGAAGGAACGAAGCUCCUGUCAGCUUUAAAUAAACUGUCCUUAUUUCCUGCAAGUCCUGCACAUCGUGCGAUGCCCAGCCACACCUUGGGUGACCAAUUGUUUGUGAAAAGGCAGAAGGCUUAUCUGACCGCGGAGGCUCACGGAGGCUUA